This 359-nucleotide long non-coding RNA is filed under the name Brassica napus (rape). Its description in RNAcentral is "long non-coding RNA (BNAP_LNC007457)". The record is from RNAcentral. Lineage: Eukaryota; Viridiplantae; Streptophyta; Magnoliopsida; Brassicales; Brassicaceae.
UCCGCCUGAGCACAGCACAAUAGGAGGGAGAUGUUGGUUGCUGCAACAGUGACAUGCAGGGGCGGAUGUACGUUGAAGGUGGAGUGGGCAGCUGUCCCCCAUGAAAUAACUACACCUAAGGCAAUUUAAUAUUGCCCCCAUUCAUUAUAACUAUUUUGCGACGGUCACUUUUUCUUUCGUUCACUGUUUUAGUUAAUUUAAUUAUUUUUACGUACGAUUGGGUUUGUCCGUUAAAUAUGAUGGCUAAUAAAUCUUUUUUUUUCAUUGUUUACUAAUAUCACUCAAUAGACACGCAUAUAAUAAUCUAUGGGGGUAAAUUUAGGCUAUUGCAAAGAUUGAGAUUCUAAAACUAUUGAAAC